UAGGGAAUCUUCGGCAAUGGGGGGAACCCUGACCGAGCAACGCCGCGUGUGUGAAGAAGGUUUUCGGAUCGUAAAGCUCUGUUGUUAAGGAAGAACGAGUGUGAGAAUGGAAAGUUCAUACUGUGACGGUACUUAACCAGAAAGGGACGGCUAACUACGUGCCAGCAGCCGCGGUAAUACGUAGGUCCCGAGCGUUGUCCGGAGCUAUUGGGCGUAAAGCGAGCGCAGGCGGUUAGAUAAGUCUGAAGUUAAAGGCAGUGGCUCAACCAUUGUAGGCUUUGGAAACUGUUUAACUUGAGUGCAGAAGGGGAGAGUGGAAUUCCAUGUGUAGCGGUGAAAUGCGUAGAUAUAUGGAGGAACACCGGUGGCGAAAGCGGCUCUCUGGUCUGUAACUGACGCUGAGGCUCGAAAGCGUGGGGAGCGAACAGG
Molecule: ribosomal RNA, 429 nt
Filed under: Bacteroidota bacterium
Lineage: Bacteria; Pseudomonadati; Bacteroidota
Description: Bacteroidetes bacterium partial 16S ribosomal RNA
Rfam family: Bacterial small subunit ribosomal RNA
Source: RNAcentral